Molecule: ribosomal RNA, 447 nt
Filed under: uncultured bacterium
Lineage: Bacteria
Description: bacterial SSU rRNA
Rfam family: Bacterial small subunit ribosomal RNA
Source: RNAcentral
UCGGGAAUUUUGGGCAAUGGGGGAAACCCUGACCCAGCAACGCCGCGUGAAGGAUGAAGUAUUUCGGUAUGUAAACUUCGAAAGAAUAGGAAGAAUAAAUGACGGUACUAUUUAUAAGGUCCGGCUAACUACGUGCCAGCAGCCGCGGUAAUACGUAGGGACCAAGCGUUGUUCGGAUUUACUGGGCGUAAAGGGCGCGUAGGCGGCAUGACAAGUCACUUGUGAAAUCUCUGGGCUUAACCCAGAACGGCCAAGUGAUACUGUCGCGCUAGAGUGCAGAAGGGGCAAUCGGAAUUCUUGGUGUAGCGGUGAAAUGCGUAGAUAUCAAGAGGAACACCUGAGGUGAAGACGGGUUGCUGGGCUGAUACUGACGCUGAGGCGCGAAAGCCAGGGGAGCAAACGGGAUUAGAUACCCACGUAGUCCCUGAGCGGGCUGGCAAGGCGCAU